GACGAACGCUGGCGGCGUGCUUAACACAUGCAAGUCGAACGGAAAGGCCCUGCUUUUGUGGGGUGCUCGAGUGGCGAACGGGUGAGUAACACGUGAGUAACCUGCCCUUGACUUUGGGAUAACUUCAUGAAACUGGGGCUAAUACCGGAUAGGGGCUCCUGCUGCAUGGUGGGGGUUGGAAAGUUUCGGCGGUUGGGGAUGGACUCGCGGCUUAUCAGCUUGUUGGUGGGGUAGUGGCUUACCAAGGCUUUGACGGGUAGCCGGCCUGAGAGGGUGACCGGCCAAAUUGGGAAUGAGAUACGGCACAGACUCCUACGGGAGGCAGCAGUGGGGAAUAGUGCACAAUGGGCGGAAGCCUGAUGCAGCAACGCCGCGUGCGGGAUGACGGCCUUCGGGUUGUAAACCGCUUUCGCCUGUGACGAAGCGUGAGUGACGGUAAUGGGUAAAGAAGCACCGGCUAACUACGUG
Molecule: ribosomal RNA, 468 nt
Filed under: uncultured bacterium
Lineage: Bacteria
Description: partial 16S ribosomal RNA
Rfam family: Bacterial small subunit ribosomal RNA
Source: RNAcentral